UCAUUGAGUCCACACGUUGUAAGGUGGGCAAUAAAUUCGUUUCACUGUCUUGCUUAUAGUGGUUGGAAGAGGCUUGCUAUGCCGACCCAUAUAUAUCAAUCAAAUUUUAUAUACUUACCUUUGUUGAUAGUAAUCGAAAGCCUCAUUAAAAACUUCCAUGAUUAAAUGUCAGCAACGAAAUACCCCAAUGUCAGAAAAGUGCCACGAAACGUUGAGUAAAUGGUCGUGACGUUAUCAUGAACCUUGCUUGGCACUUCCAAAUGGUUCGAGUCAAGGGCUAUUGAAGACGCUAUAAGAACUACGCAAAGACGGAUCGAGACGAUGAUCCAGGGUUUGUUCGAAUCUAGAGAGCCAUGGAAGGCCUCUUCCUGCAGGACAAAGUUUGGCUAUUUAGCUGUCGAAGGCGAGCGUAAAAAAACGAAGAUAAAAAGCGAAAGCGAUCAGAAUUCAAGAUCACGAGAGCGAAAACACAUCUAUCAAUUCCUACAGUUUCGCCAAACCUCGUCCCCACGAGCAGCAAGCAGUGGCUCCCCCUGUCUUAGUCAUGAGCCCUAUGUAUCUGCAGCGUAAAACGCAAAAAAGAUUCGAGAGGCAUAGGCCGAUUUCGAACGCGAGCUCGUGAAGCGCAAUUCGCCUCAUCUUCGGACAGGAAGGUUUACUUGUAUCAGUGAAAUGCGUGAGUGCCUGUUUCCCGUAAUAGCGAGCAAAGACACGUUCGAAUUUACAGCUAGAUAAGCUCCCCUUCCGAAUUUGCCACACAUAUCGGUGACCGCGAACAUACAAAGAAACAAAACGUAUGCCUUCUGCGUCCCACGUCG
Long non-coding RNA from Varroa destructor (honeybee mite), 818 nucleotides. RefSeq lists it as uncharacterized. The record is from RefSeq and is a predicted model, not a curated record. Lineage: Eukaryota; Metazoa; Arthropoda; Arachnida; Mesostigmata; Varroidae.